This is a non-coding RNA of Ophidiomyces ophidiicola, 84 nucleotides long. Lineage: Eukaryota; Fungi; Ascomycota; Eurotiomycetes; Onygenales; Onygenaceae. The record is from the annotation of a RefSeq genome assembly.
GCGCGCGUGGCCAAGCGGUAAGGCGUCGCACUCGUAACUACUUCAGAAAUGCGGAAAUCGCCGGUUCGAAUCCGGUCGUGCGCA